Long non-coding RNA from Myotis davidii, 1320 nucleotides. RefSeq lists it as uncharacterized. The transcript is spliced from 3 exons. The record is from RefSeq and is a predicted model, not a curated record. Lineage: Eukaryota; Metazoa; Chordata; Mammalia; Chiroptera; Vespertilionidae.
CCGCGUCCCCAGGCCCCGCGGCUGCAGCCACAGCGAUUGUCGAGAGGUGCCCGCCUCUGAGCCCGCUCUUGACCUCACGUCACGCCUUCUAGAACCCUCCACCCCGGGCCGCCCAGGGGCAUGCUGGGAUUUGUUGUGUGUGGAGAGCGGCUGCCGCGAGGAAUGCUGGGACUCGCAGUCCUGGGGAACUACAAACAAGAUGGCUGCCUUGGCUGAGCUGGCUAAGGCUUGAGGAUGGCUGUCAGGCUUUGGCAUGACCUAGGUUCGAAUCCUCCCUUCACAAGGUCAUCUGGACAUUGUCAUUGUCGUCCUGAGUACUGAUGGUGGCGAUGAGGCAUCUUCACAUGACUCCUCAGGUCCGAGGGAGCCUGGAGCAGAAGAGGGAGGACAUGGCAGAUACGACCACCUGCUUGAUUGUUGUUUUACUCUGCGGCUUUCCUAAAGGAUUUUGCAACCAGCUACAGGCCAGACCACUUGUGUUGAACAAAAAGGGCCUGUCUUGAAGAUUCAUGAGAAAGGACCGUGCCAAGUGCUCAGGGAUACAGGCUUCUCAUGGCAUUGCUUAAUAACUUUGAAAUCAAACCAAAAAACUAAAUCAGAAUUUCUAAAAGCCAGUGGGUUCAUAAAACUGCUAACCCAAGACUAAGUAGAAUACAAUUAAUUACAUGGGAUUGAGUAAACUGAUAAAGAAUGACUAUAACUUUUUAUAUAUUUUGUUUGAAAUUUUGCUGGCUCUUAAAUGCUCUGUUUUCCAGAUGUAAGAAAAGCCCGUUCUGUUUUCUCUUCAGCUAUCUAUGACUCAUAAAAUCCAGUAAAUUUUACUUUCAUAAACAAAGUUAAACUAUUAUGGAGUAUUCUUAUUUUCCUAGCAAAGUAGUUAUUUGUUCAUUGUUUUUGAGGUUUUGUUCAGUAAGAAUCUGUCCUCUUUGCCAUAGAUCAUAGUUGAAAACACCAGUUAUAUUAUGAAAGCUUUGACUGGAAUGUCAUGUUUGAUAAUGAUGCUUAAAGUCAGACAUGACCAGACAAAUUUCAAGGAACUACGGUUGACGCUUUGGAGCCACUGCUUACAAAGCCCUCUUGAAAAAACCGGCUGGUAUCUGGCUUAAGAGCUGAGAGACUUAGGUAAGUAAGGUAACUUCCUGGAGAGUCCAGGAAGCGCAGGGUAUUUUGGUGACCUUGAGAAGAGAGGAGUUCACCCGCUGAAGUUCAUGAAGCCUGAAGGAGGAGUCUUGGCUUGACUUCCUAGCACUUGAGAAGCUUUUAAAGCCCAACAUCAGAUUCCUUAUAAAAACUUCCAUAAAGAGAACUUAAAAGGCCUGU